RNAcentral lists this ribosomal RNA (291 nucleotides) under uncultured bacterium. RNAcentral describes it as "partial 16S ribosomal RNA". It matches the Rfam family "Bacterial small subunit ribosomal RNA", at positions 505 to 796 of the family's 1533-position model. The record is from RNAcentral.
GUGCCAGCCGCCGCGGUAAGACGGAGGGUGCUAGCGUUGUUCGGAAUUACUGGGCGUAAAGGGCGCGUAGGCGGCCAGGCAAGUCGGAUGUGAAAGCCCGGGGCUCAACCUCGGAACUGCAUUCGAAACUGCUUGGCUAGAGAACGGAAGAGGAGAGUGGAAUACCUAGUGUAGAGGUGAAAUUCGUAGAUAUUGGGUGGAACACCGGUGGCGAAAGCGGCUCUCUGGUCCGGAUCUGACGCUGAGGCGCGAAAGCGUGGGGAGCAAACAGGAUUAGAGACCCUGUAGUCC